Long non-coding RNA from Mytilus californianus (California mussel), 420 nucleotides. RefSeq lists it as uncharacterized. NCBI's taxonomy places the organism in Eukaryota, Metazoa, Mollusca, Bivalvia, Mytilida, Mytilidae. The record is from RefSeq and is a predicted model, not a curated record. The transcript is spliced from 3 exons.
AUUAUUAAUUUCAGGAGAAUUUUCAAACUCGUCGAAUAAUCUCCGAAAAUCAGUAGCAAACAUUUCGGCGAUUUUUUAAACAGGAGAAUUUUCUAAAUUUUCGAAUAAUCUCAGAAAAUCAGAAGCAGAAAUUUCCGCGACCUUUUAAACAGGAGAAUUUUCAAACUCUUCGAAUAAUCCCAGAAAAUCAGAAGCACAAAUUUCGGCGACUUUUUAAACAGGUAUGUUCGAAUGACUGUUAGGACAAAAGCAUAAAAUAUCAAGAACAAGCUAGUCAACUGCAUAAUUAUUCUACCUAAUAUAACGGCACUGUUGAGUGUGUUAUGACUUUGUUGAAAAUAUUGACUUAAAAAAGUCAGGCACGUAAAACAAUUUUAUCCAUAAGCAAUUGCGAAUAUAAGAACGUUUUUGUAUUGCAAG